UACGGGGGGGGCAAGCGUUGUUCGGAAUUACUGGGCGUAAAGGGUUCGUAGGUGGCCAACUAAGUCAGACGUGAAAUCCCUCAGCUUAACUGGGGAACUGCGUCUGAUACUGGUUGGCUUGAGUGCAGGAGAGGAACGCGGAAUUCCAGGUGUAGCGGUGAAAUGCGCAGAUAUCAGGAGGAACACCGGUGGCGAAGGCGGUUCUCUGGGCCUGUACUGACGCUGAGGAGCGAAAGCGUGGGGAGCGAACAGG
This 253-nucleotide ribosomal RNA is filed under the name uncultured prokaryote. RNAcentral describes it as "partial 16S ribosomal RNA". It matches the Rfam family "Bacterial small subunit ribosomal RNA", at positions 524 to 776 of the family's 1533-position model. The record is from RNAcentral.